This 561-nucleotide ribosomal RNA is filed under the name Rhodotorula mucilaginosa. RNAcentral describes it as "eukaryotic LSU rRNA". It matches the Rfam family "Eukaryotic large subunit ribosomal RNA", at positions 90 to 667 of the family's 3401-position model. Lineage: Eukaryota; Fungi; Basidiomycota; Microbotryomycetes; Sporidiobolales; Sporidiobolaceae. The record is from RNAcentral.
CGAGCGAAGCGGGAAGAGCUCAAAUUUAUAAUCUGGCACCUUCGGUGUCCGAGUUGUAAUCUCUAGAAAUGUUUUCCGCGUUGGACCGCACACAAGUCUGUUGGAAUACAGCGGCAUAGUGGUGAGACCCCCGUAUAUGGUGCGGACGCCCAGCGCUUUGUGAUACAUUUUCGAAGAGUCGAGUUGUUUGGGAAUGCAGCUCAAAUUGGGUGGUAAAUUCCAUCUAAAGCUAAAUAUUGGCGAGAGACCGAUAGCGAACAAGUACCGUGAGGGAAAGAUGAAAAGCACUUUGGAAAGAGAGUUAACAGUACGUGAAAUUGUUGGAAGGGAAACGCUUGAAGUCAGACUUGCUUGCCGAGCAAUCGGUUUGCAGGCCAGCAUCAGUUUUCCGGGAUGGAUAAUGGUAGAGAGAAGGUAGCAGUUUCGGCUGUGUUAUAGCUCUCUGCUGGAUACAUCUUGGGGGACUGAGGAACGCAGUGUGCCUUUGGCGGGGGUUUCGACCUCUUCACACUUAGGAUGCUGGUGGAAUGGCUUUAAACGACCCGUCUUGAAACACGGACC